RNAcentral lists this long non-coding RNA (3600 nucleotides) under Homo sapiens (human). RNAcentral describes it as "HSALNT0155492". Lineage: Eukaryota; Metazoa; Chordata; Mammalia; Primates; Hominidae. The record is from RNAcentral.
GCUAGCUGUUCAGAGGUCAGGCGCUGGUCAGAACAUGAGGAAGGAGGAACACGGUGGCCAUAUCUGAAGUGAUCUAGUAAACAGGAGACAUUUCCUCCAGGAAGUCUGUAGUGGGUAAGACCCAGUUACUACCCUUGAGGAAAGGAAGGUGAUGGGAACUAGCAUCUAUUAUGCACUGUGUGCCAGACUUGAGUAAACACUUCCAAGUCCUGUUCCUUGACUCCUAUGAGGUUAGUAACUUUUAUCAUCGCCAUUUUAAAGGAAGGCUCAGAGGCACUCUGCAGUCACACAGCUGGAGGGGUGCAGUGAGACGCGGAGGCUCCAAGUCUCUUCUGGACUAGGCCUGGAUCUGCCACCUCUUCUUUCGGCUGUGGAUGGCCCUGGGAGACACGCCUGGCCUCAGAUGCCCCUUGACCCAACUGGAGGAAGGGUGGGGGGCCCAGCAGAAAAGCCUGCAGCCUCCCUGGGCACCGUUUCAAAGCUGAUGCUGCUCUCCCUGCUCUGGGUCUCAGCUCCUCCCCUCUUCUGCAUUGUUGACCAACAGCCUGGGUCUGACGCGGAAGCAGAAGAAUUCCCAUUCAACUGGGCCCCAGGGAUGGGGGGCCUCUCUGCCAGUAAGUGACACCCUCUGCUACUGAAAGGCCUCAUGUUCCUGCCCUGCCAAGCCUGGGGUGGCCACCACGUGACAGCACCAGGGACACGUGUCUUCUGGGACCGCUUGUGAGCUGGGUGGCUGGCAAGUUUGUUUCUCCAUGUCCCGCAGCAGGGGCAAGGGUGUGGGUGGUCAUAAUGCACCAGGGCUCUGGGCGGGCUGAGCAGAGUGCAGUUCCUGCUGCCAGCCCCGAUAUGGCACGGACAGCUGGAAAAACUGACCAUGUGGCUUGACUAUCUCAGAGGAUUGCUCCAUUUUUCCUCAGCAUAAUUUUUCCAUGAAUAAUCUUUAAAGCUCUUUAAGUGGCUGUUUCUUUAGCAGUUUUAUUGGAACAUAUGAGAACUGACAGUCUCUGUGGGGAACGAGAUAUCAUGUUGAAAAAAAAUCUGGUUUUCAUUACACUUCUUUCAAGAAAGCAACAGGCUGCCCAACAGACCUCUCAUUGAUUGGAAGAGAAAUGAGCCCAGAGCCUCCUAACAACAGCCUUGGAGUGGACAGGAUGAUGAACAGUGAUGCCAAAGACUCAGGAUCUGAAGGCAGACAGGCCUGGUCCACCACCUGUGUCUGCCAUUUGCAGGAUGAGUGACCUUGAGUAGGUCACCUCACACCUCUGAACCUGAAUUCUACAUCUGCAAAACAGGAAUGAUGACCCUGACUGACAGCCUCCCUGUGAGGAGUAAGCCAUACAGCAUCCCUCCCUCCUUCACGUGACAAACUUUUCCUGAGUCCUGACCUCGGGGGCAGGAGCUGGAGAUACUACACUGGAUUAGAAAGAUGAGUUUCCAGUCAAGUGUGGGAGAGAGAAGUAGCCAGGAUGUAGAACCUGACAAGGGAAGAGUUCAGGAACUUGCCCAGUUGAGCAGCCAGUGAACGGGACAGCCCUGAGCACGGUGCACGUUCUGGGGUGGCUCGUGAGUGACAGCAGUACUGGUAUGCUGGUGAGUGCCUCAGCAGGAGCUCCCUCUGUCCCCCUACCAACUCCCCGAUGUCUGGACGGCACCAGAGCCCGCCUGGGAGGCCACGAGCUAACACUCUCAAGAGGAAAACAGGGGGAUCAAACCAAUGACCCAAGGGCCUACAGCUAAGAACUGCUGGAGCCAGGCUCUGAACUGAGCUCUGCCUGACUCCAGAGGUGGUUUCUACCACCAGGCAAUACAACAGGGAGACACGCAGGUGUGUCAGAGAGCAGUCCUCACAGUGCGAGCACAGAAACCAGAGGCCAAGGCUGAAGAUUUUCCUGGACUCGCGGUGCUGCCCAGGAAUCUUCUGAGAAAACCUGUCAGUUGGUAAAGCCACGUGGAGGCGGGGCUAACAAAAUCUGGAAAUGUCUUCACCAGUUCCAAAGUACACACAAACAUUACUUGCCCUCUCUGGGGGUCAACGUUCUUUAUGAUUUUUUUCUCUCCAGGAAAAUAUUAGUUCAUUUAUAGAAACUAAACAUUACAUGUGGAGGGAAAAUGGAAAACGUGGCAUUCUUGGCCUUUUUUCUCCACAGACACAGAAACUGAGAAGGUUUCUCCAUUUCCUUUCUCACAGCCUAUUUGUUGGUGUGGAACUGCCUGUGAAGUCAUUCUGCAGGGGUGGAAAGUGGGGGCCAGCUCUCUGUGGGCAACAGGGACCAUCCCAGAGACAAAGGGCAGCCUCAGCCCACAGACCACUUCGGACUUGAAUCAAGGCCUCAAAGGGCGAGACCUGGGCCACUGUCAAUGUGAGGGCAGGUGUGGGGGAUGUGCCUACUGGAAAGGGCACCGAGCUGAAGCCUAAACCCCCUCCUGAGGAGCCAGGGAAGCCUGCGUUCCUCCCAUUCCCGGGACUGCAAGAGGCACAUUCCUGUCCCUGAGUCUGGUCAGGCUCCUGCCACGCAGCUCAGUCUGGCUGCCAGGUCCAGAAAGGCCUCCCUGGAGCUGCCCCUCUGGCCCCACCCUUCCCAGGACCCCAGGCCACCCCACAGCUGCAGCAGCACCCACUCUCUGUCUUCUGAGGCUGCUAGUGGGAAGCUGGGACCCCCGAGUGUGUCUGAAACCUUCCAGGCACUCCUCGACCCUCUAGUGAUCAAUGAAAACCUUCACAUCCUGCUUCCAGGGCUGAAGCCAGGGAUUUGGAAAAUUGGUGGAAAACACUCCUAUGAGCUGGGGCUUGCUCUGCUGUGGAAAACUGCCAGCAUCAGCACUUCUCCCAAGGCUGUGCCGAGUCAGCAGUCAGCCCACUCUGGAGCUGCCUCUGAGGACCAGGUGCCUACAGGACCCUGUAAGGAGCUUGAAGAGUUGUGGCUGACGGAGGGAUUUCUGUCCUGGGCUCUAGGAAUUCUAGACUGGGCCCUUCCUCAAGGAGCUUUCAGUCUGGCGGAGCAGACAGACAUGGGCAAAUAAGCCCACAACUAACUGUGCCAUCACUGCAGAAGGAAGUGCCACGGAGGAGCAUGAGGGCCAGUUGCAGGAAGGAGCCAGGGCCAGCAUGUGCCUGUAAAAGCCAGAUAGUAAAUAGUUCACGCUCUGCAGGCCACAGGGUCUUUGUCCCAAGCACUCAACUCUGCCACUGCUGCAUGAAAACAGCCACAGGCGAUAUGUCAACCAAAGAGGGGUGGUUGUGCCCAUAUGAAAACAGAGGGUGGAUCUGUCCCACAGUUUGCCACAGCCUGGCUGUUAGACGGCCUGACCUGAUUGGGGGUGGGGGUGAUAGUGGGGAGAAGGCUUCCCCGAGGCAGUGAUAUUUAGCUAAAAGCUGCAGGCUGAGGCAAUGAUGGAGGCAGAAUCACAAUAUGACAAUUAUGAUAAUCACAUCACCAUGAUCAAGUUCCACCUAACACGUGUGUUCUAUGUUGCGCACUGUGCUAAUAACAACACUACCCUGUGAAGGAGGAAGAUUUUAUGCCCACUUUACAGAUAGAGACACUGAGGCUUGGCAGUAUGCUGAGUAGUCUGUUCACACAAUUCAGCUGCAUUUUUUGC